CUUCUAUUUGUUUCAAAUGUAGAACAUAAUGAUUCAACAUUUGUAUAUAUUGUGAAGCGAUCACGUUUAGCUAGCAUCCAUCACCAGAGGGCGAGCUACUCUCUUAGAAACUUUUAAAUAUGAAACUAUUAACUAUAGGUUACUAAUGAAGGUAUGGUGCUACUUUUGAGAUUUACUAAGUUACCCUCCAGAGGUUUCAGCAAUUUAUCCUGCAUCAACACUGCUAAGUUACUUCCCUGGUGGUCCAGUGAUUAAGACUCUGCACUCUCAACGUGGGGGACCCAGGUUCAAUCCCCGGUCAGGGAACUACAUCCUGCAUGCUUGCAACUACGACCUGGUGUAGAGAGAUAAGUCCCUUCUAGUCCUGACAGUAUCCUCUGAUACAUAGCCUUCAUUCACAUUGAAAAGAAGGAAAACAGAAAGAACCAUAGUAUUCUGUGAGCAAGUGGAGUCUGAGGAGGACAUAUCCACAGAAACCUCAUUUUCUCAACUCCAGGACAUGGAAUGCAGGUUGGACAGACACAGUGAGGAUAAGCUGUAUAAGGACACCACCUUGAGAAAGGCCAAGCCACAGACCAGAAAAAGCCCAAGUCCUCUGUGACAUACAGAAUAGAGUCGCUGACCAGGUUCAGCUGUCUGCUGACCUCUGUGUGGUGAACAAGAGAAAAAUAAAAGCCUGUCUUAUUCUGGGGUCUCUCUGUCACAGCUCUGUGAUAAAAUGAAUUGUGUCUUUCCAAAAUUCGUAUGUUGAAGCCCAGCCCCCAGCUGUGAUUGAACUUGGAGAUAUGGAUUGUAAGGAUUAAGUGAGGUCAGGGGAAGGGCUCUGUCCUGUAGGACUAGUAUUCUUAUAAGAAGUGAGGUAGACACCAGAUCGCUCUCCUGUCCUCAGUGCUCACACCAAGGAAAGGCCAUCUGAGGACACAGUGAGAAGAC
Bos taurus (domestic cattle) is the source of this 933-nucleotide long non-coding RNA. Lineage: Eukaryota; Metazoa; Chordata; Mammalia; Artiodactyla; Bovidae. The record is from Ensembl.